GGGAGAACUCCAAUGGCGUCUGUGUCAGCACGCCCACACCAGGCCACAACAAUGGCUGCCGCCAAUGUCCCAGUCCCUGGGGAGGUCUCACCCCUCACCGAGAUGCACUCAGGGCCUAUUAGCUGCAAGUCCCUCCAGCUCCUCCAUGCGAACUACUGCCACAGCAUGGCCACCGACAGACGAGUGGUGUGGUUCCGUGCGGGAACCGAACCUGGGCUGCUGAAGUGGAGAGCGCUGAAUCCUAACCACUAGGCCAUCAGGGCUGGCUCGGUUCAUCACUUUUUAAUUGAUCCAGAUCUUAAGUUUAUGUUUUGAUUUAUGGAUGUAGUGACUUAGGAACCAAAUGAAAAUAUUAAUACAAUGUCUGA
This is a long non-coding RNA of Diceros bicornis minor, 368 nucleotides long. RefSeq lists it as uncharacterized. The transcript has 2 exons. NCBI's taxonomy places the organism in Eukaryota, Metazoa, Chordata, Mammalia, Perissodactyla, Rhinocerotidae. The record is from RefSeq and is a predicted model, not a curated record.